GCCUGGCUAGAUCAGUCGGUUGAGCAUGAGACUCUUAAUGUCAGGGUUGUGGGUUCGAGCCCCACGUUGGGCG
Molecule: non-coding RNA, 73 nt
Organism: Danio rerio (zebrafish)
Lineage: Eukaryota; Metazoa; Chordata; Actinopteri; Cypriniformes; Danionidae
Source: Rfam